This 497-nucleotide ribosomal RNA is filed under the name uncultured bacterium. RNAcentral's name for it is "partial 16S ribosomal RNA". It matches the Rfam family "Bacterial small subunit ribosomal RNA", at positions 28 to 507 of the family's 1533-position model. The record is from RNAcentral.
GAUGAACGCUGGCGGCGUGCCUAAUACAUGCAAGUAGAACGCUGAAGGAAGGAGCUUGCUCUUUCCGGAUGAGUUGCGAACGGGUGAGUAACGCGUAGGUAACCUGCCUGGUAGCGGGGGAUAACUAUUGGAAACGAUAGCUAAUACCGCAUAACAGUAGAUGUUGCAUGAUAUCUACUUAAAAGGUGCAAUUGCACCGCUACCAGAUGGACCUGCGUUGUAUUAGCUAGUUGGUGAGGUAACGGCUCACCAAGGCGACGAUACAUAGCCGACCUGAGAGGGUGAUCGGCCACACUGGGACUGAGACACGGCCCAGACUCCUACGGGAGGCAGCAGUAGGGAAUCUUCGGCAAUGGACGGAAGUCUGACCGAGCAACGCCGCGUGAGUGAAGAAGGGUUUCGGAUCGUAAAGCUCUGUUGUAAGAGAAGAACGAGUGUGAGAGUGGAAAGUUCACACUGCGACGGUAUCUUACCAGAAAGGGACGGCUAACUACGUG